Molecule: transfer RNA, 72 nt
Filed under: bacterium
Lineage: Bacteria
Description: tRNA-Val
Rfam family: tRNA
About the family: Transfer RNA (tRNA) molecules are approximately 80 nucleotides in length. Their secondary structure includes four short double-helical elements and three loops (D, anti-codon, and T loops).
Source: RNAcentral
GGGCGAUUAGCUCAGUGGUGGAGUGCUCCCUUGACAUGGGAGAGGUCACAGGUUCGAUCCCUGUAUCGCCCA